GAUGAACGCUAGCGGCAGGCCUAAUACAUGCAAGUCGGACGGGAUUCGGGAGCUUGCUCUUGAUGAGAGUGGCGCACGGGUGCGUAACACGUAUGCAACCUACCUUUACCAGGGGGAUAGCCUCUCGAAAGAGAGAUUAACACCGCAUAAAAUUAGUUUAUGGCAUCAUAAAUUGAUCAAAUAUUUAUAGGGUAAAGAUGGGCAUGCGGAACAUUAGCUAGUUGGUAAGGUAACGGCUUACCAAGGCGACGAUGUUUAGGGGAUCUGAGAGGAUGACCCCCCACACUGGUACUGAGACACGGACCAGACUCCUACGGGAGGCAGCAGUAAGGAAUAUUGGUCAAUGGGCGCAAGCCUGAACCAGUCAUGCCGCGUGCAGGAAGACGGCCCUACGGGUUGUAAACUGCUUUUGUACGGGAAUAAACCCUGAUACGUGUAUCAGGCUGAAUGUACCGUAAGAAUAAGGAUCGGCUAACUCCGUGACAGCCGCCGCCUGUAA
RNAcentral lists this ribosomal RNA (499 nucleotides) under uncultured bacterium. RNAcentral's name for it is "partial 16S ribosomal RNA". It matches the Rfam family "Bacterial small subunit ribosomal RNA", at positions 28 to 523 of the family's 1533-position model. The record is from RNAcentral.